This 253-nucleotide ribosomal RNA is filed under the name uncultured bacterium. RNAcentral's name for it is "partial 16S ribosomal RNA". It matches the Rfam family "Bacterial small subunit ribosomal RNA", at positions 524 to 776 of the family's 1533-position model. The record is from RNAcentral.
UACGAAGGUGGCAAGCGUUACUCGGAAUUACUAGGCGUAAAGCGCAGGUAGGUGGUUGUGUAAGUCUGCUGUGAAAGCUCCCGGCUUAACUGGGAGAGGUCAGCGGAGACUGCAUAGCUAGAGUGUGGGAGAGGGUACUGGAAUUCCCGGUGUAGCGGUGAAAUGCGCAGAGAUCGGGAGGAACACCUAAGGCGAAAGCAGGUACCUGGACCAUUACUGACACUAAGCUGCGAAAGCUAGGGGAGCAAACAGG